AAUUUCACUUCUAAUGACUCAAUGAAAGUGUAUAAAGGUUUAAAAUUAUGAGCUAGCUUUUACAUUAGAAUCUAGGUUAUCUCCUUAGUUCUGUGACCUCUGUAUAGCAACAUUCCAUUAAAGUCGUUUGAAGAUUUUAUUUUGUCAAGGAAACAUUAACAUUGAACAAAAUGAGGCUGUUCCUAUUUCUUAGUCUUCUGGCAUUCCUUGCUUGUGUAGCAGUCAUUGAAGGCUUACCCUUAGCAAGUAGUCUAUGUCUACAGCCAGUCUUUUGCUUUGUUGAUCCUUGCAUGGUAGCAAAUUGUCCAGGCACUUGUGUUCAAACCUGUGCAUGUGGACAUACCUGUCUGUAAAACAAAGAGCAGUUGGUGACAUUUCUAAGCAACAGUUCAAAUGCCGAAUUGACUAAACAAAGCUUUAUUUCAUUAAAAAAAUAUUGUUCAAAUAUUUGUUUUUAGACUUUGUAAAACAACAUUUGUUUUUUUUUGUGUUGGUCUUGUUUCAUAUUUUUAGCGGCCUCCGAAAGGCGAAAAGACGCUAUAACUUUGGUGUGCCCUAUCUGUCAGUCCGUCUGUCUGUCCGUCCGUCCCGUUUAGAUCUCAGAAACUAGAAAAGAAAAUGAAAAUCGAACAUCAUGAUAUUUUAGAUCAUUCAAAGUUCUGAUGCAACGGCUACUUUUUUCUUUUCCUUAAGUGAACAAUCUAAUUUUUUAAAUUAUAUAUGCAAGCAGUUUUUUCAAAAAAUUACACCACAUUUCUAUGAAAAAAACUUGCAGGGUAGGUAACAUUUUUUAAAAAGUCAUGGACUUCUUAAUUAAUAACUCAAGCUUCAUUCCUAGAUUCGCGCAUUGGUACAAAAAAAUUUGCAUCUAAAAAAUCAAUGGAUCAUUAUAAAAUAUAUUUUCCAUUUAUUAACUAACUCAUUGAAUAGAAUACUGAUUCAAAUGUUGUUUUUAAAAAAGAAUUUUGAUACGAACUUCGUUUUAGUUAUAAGUUUAAAAAAAUAAUGAACUACUUUUAUAGCACGCAGUUUUGAGCUGUCCUCAUUAUAGGGGCCUACAUUUGACAGCUAUAGUCUAAAUAAGACUAAAUAGAGCCCAGAUCUAGAUAUAUUAAUACAAUUUUAAUUAUUAAGGCAAUAACUUAUCUUCUGACAACUUAGGAGGGCAGAUUUAUUUAUUAUGGAAACAGUAGUGUUACAUUAAGCAAUGAAUCGGAUACACCAUUACCUAGUAACAAAAGGCCUACUAUUCUUGAUCAUAACAUUGGCCUAGGUCUAUUACUUUUAAGAUUAAACGUGUAAAUUAUACAAGUUGUAGUCUAGAUAAAGUAGAUUCUAUAUCAAGAUUCUAUAUCUAGUUCUAGAUCUAGACUUAGAUCUAUUUCUAGAUCUAGACUUAGAUCUAGUUCUAGACCUAGACUUGGAUUUUAAAUUUAGAUUUAGAACUAGAACUAGGUCUAGAUCUAGCUAGAACUAUGUCUUGUUUGUAUGACAAAUGACAAUGUUAAUAUUUAUUUUUAUUUGCAAGGGGAAAGUCUUGUUAAGCCAUUUGUACACAACUGUAGAUCUCCUUAUCUUAUAUGAUACAGACGUUACUUAAAAAAAAAGAUGAUUAGGCCCUACGUCCUAAGCGUCAUGCAUUUAGUUAUGCAUAUUAACCAAUUACUUAAAUUCUGCCAACUCACUGGUUUUCCUAGCUAGCUCAGGCUACCCAAUUCCAUGCUCUAAUAGCACUAGGGAAGAAAGAGCGUUUGUACACAUUUGUCCUAGCAUAUGGAACGAGGAAUGUGCCUGUAUCUUUGUGUCUUUCUGAGUAUUUUAUUAAAUUUUGUUUUCGUUUUUGAA
Long non-coding RNA from Biomphalaria glabrata, 1845 nucleotides. RefSeq lists it as uncharacterized. The transcript is spliced from 3 exons. The record is from RefSeq and is a predicted model, not a curated record. NCBI's taxonomy places the organism in Eukaryota, Metazoa, Mollusca, Gastropoda, Planorbidae.